Molecule: non-coding RNA, 90 nt
Filed under: human gut metagenome
Source: RNAcentral
AGCUGCGCGACUGGCGGAAGACGGUAGUUACCGUUGUGGGAUCACCCACAGGGAGUGCAGUCAUAACGAGAAGCCGACCGCCUGGGCGAA